This 460-nucleotide ribosomal RNA is filed under the name uncultured bacterium. RNAcentral's name for it is "partial 16S ribosomal RNA". It matches the Rfam family "Bacterial small subunit ribosomal RNA", at positions 338 to 795 of the family's 1533-position model. The record is from RNAcentral.
CCUACGGGAGGCUGCAGUGAGGAAUAUUGGUCAAUGGACGAGAGUCUGAACCAGCCAAGUAGCGUGAAGGAUGACUGCCCUAUGGGUUGUAAACUUCUUUUAUAUGGGAAUAAAACAGGGUAUGCAUACCCUCUUUUAUGUACCAUAUGAAUAAGGAUCGGCUAACUCCGUGCCAGCAGCCGCGGUAAUACGGAGGAUCCGAGCGUUAUCCGAAUUUAUUGGGUUUAAAGGGAGCGUAGGUGGAUUGUUAAGUCAGUUGUGAAAGUUUGCGGCUCAACCGUAAAAUUGCAGUUGAAACUGGCAGUCUUGAGUACAGUAGAGGUGGGCGGAAUUCGUGGUGUAGCGGUGAAAUGCUUAGAUAUCACGAAGAACUCCGAUUGCGAAGGCAGCUCACUGGACUGCAACUGACACUGAUGCUCGAAAGUGUGGGUAUCAAACAGGAUUAGAUACCCUAGUAGUC